GGUUAAGCGACUAAGCGUACACGGUGGAUGCCCUGGCAGUCAGAGGCGAUGAAGGACGUGCUAAUCUGCGAAAAGCGUCGGUAAGGUGAUAUGAACCGUUAUAACCGGCGAUGUCCGAAUGGGGAAACCCAGUGCAAUUCGUUGCACUAUCGUUAACUGAAUACAUAGGUUAACGAGGCGAACCGGGGGAACUGAAACAUCUAAGUACCCCGAGGAAAAGAAAUCAACCGAGAUUCCCCCAGUAGCGGCGAGCGAACGGGGAGCAGCCCAGAGUCUGAAUCAGCUUGUGUGUUAGUGGAACGGUCUGGAAAGUCCGACGGUACAGGGUGAUAGUCCCGUACACCAAAAUGCACAGGCUGUGAACUCGAAGAGUAGGGCGGGACACGUGGUAUCCUGUCUGAAUAUGGGGGGACCAUCCUCCAAGGCUAAAUACUCCUGACUGACCGAUAGUGAACCAGUACCGUGAGGGAAAGGCGAAAAGAACCCCGGCGAGGGGAGUGAAAAAGAACCUGAAACCGUGUACGUACAAGCAGUGGGAGCACCUUCGGGUGUGACUGCGUACCUUUUGUAUAAUGGGUCAGCGACUUAUAUUCUGUAGCAAGGUUAACCGUAUAGGGGAGCCGCAGGGAAACCGAGUCUUAACUGGGCGUUAAGUUGCAGGGUAUAGACCCGAAACCCGGUGAUCUAGCCAUGGGCAGGUUGAAGGUUGGGUAACACUAACUGGAGGACCGAACCGACUAAUGUUGAAAAAUUAGCGGAUGACUUGUGGCUGGGGGUGAAAGGCCAAUCAAACCGGGAGAUAGCUGGUUCUCCCCGAAAGCUAUUUAGGUAGCGCCUCGUGAAUUCAUCUUCGGGGGUAGAGCACUGUUUCGGCUAGGGGGUCAUCCCGACUUACCAACCCGAUGCAAACUACGAAUACCGAAGAAUGUUAUCACGGGAGACACACGGCGGGUGCUAACGUCCGUCGUGAAGAGGGAAACAACCCAGACCGCCAGCUAAGGUCCCAAAGUCAUGGUUAAGUGGGAAACGAUGUGGGAAGGCACAGACAGCCAGGAUGUUGGCUUAGAAGCAGCCAUCAUUUAAAGAAAGCGUAAUAGCUCACUGGUCGAGUCGGCCUGCGCGGAAGAUGUAACGGGGCUAAACCAUGCACCGAAGCUGCGGCAGCGACACUAUGUGUUGUUGGGUAGGGGAGCGUUCUGUAAGCCUGCGAAGGUGUGCUGUGAGGCAUGCUGGAGGUAUCAGAAGUGCGAAUGCUGACAUAAGUAACGAUAAAGCGGGUGAAAAGCCCGCUCGCCGGAAGACCAAGGGUUCCUGUCCAACGUUAAUCGGGGCAGGGUGAGUCGACCCCUAAGGCGAGGCCGAAAGGCGUAGUCGAUGGGAAACAGGUUAAUAUUCCUGUACUUGGUGUUACUGCGAAGGGGGGACGGAGAAGGCUAUGUUAGCCGGGCGACGGUUGUCCCGGUUUAAGCAUGUAGGCUGGUUGUCCAGGCAAAUCCGGAUAAUCAAGGCUGAGGUGUGAUGACGAGGCACUACGGUGCUGAAGUAACAAAUGCCCUGCUUCCAGGAAAAGCCUCUAAGCAUCAGGUAACAUCAAAUCGUACCCCAAACCGACACAGGUGGUCAGGUAGAGAAUACCAAGGCGCUUGAGAGAACUCGGGUGAAGGAACUAGGCAAAAUGGUGCCGUAACUUCGGGAGAAGGCACGCUGGUGUGUAGGUGAAGUCCCUGCGGAUGGAGCUGAGACCAGUCGAAGAUACCAGCUGGCUGCAACUGUUUAUUAAAAACACAGCACUGUGCAAACACGAAAGUGGACGUAUACGGUGUGACGCCUGCCCGGUGCCGGAAGGUUAAUUGAUGGGGUUAUCCGUAAGGAGAAGCUCUUGAUCGAAGCCCCGGUAAACGGCGGCCGUAACUAUAACGGUCCUAAGGUAGCGAAAUUCCUUGUCGGGUAAGUUCCGACCUGCACGAAUGGCGUAAUGAUGGCCAGGCUGUCUCCACCCGAGACUCAGUGAAAUUGAACUCGCUGUGAAGAUGCAGUGUACCCGCGGCAAGACGGAAAGACCCCGUGAACCUUUACUAUAGCUUGACACUGAACAUUGAGCCUUGAUGUGUAGGAUAGGUGGGAGGCUUUGAAGCGUGGACGCCAGUCUGCGUGGAGCCAACCUUGAAAUACCACCCUUUAAUGUUUGAUGUUCUAACGUUGGCCCCUUACCGGGGUUGCGGACAGUGUCUGGUGGGUAGUUUGACUGGGGCGGUCUCCUCCCAAAGCGUAACGGAGGAGCACGAAGGUUAGCUAAUCCUGGUCGGACAUCAGGAGGUUAGUGCAAUGGCAUAAGCUAGCUUGACUGCGAGCGUGACGGCGCGAGCAGGUGCGAAAGCAGGUCAUAGUGAUCCGGUGGUUCUGAAUGGAAGGGCCAUCGCUCAACGGAUAAAAGGUACUCCGGGGAUAACAGGCUGAUACCGCCCAAGAGUUCAUAUCGACGGCGGUGUUUGGCACCUCGAUGUCGGCUCAUCACAUCCUGGGGCUGAAGUAGGUCCCAAGGGUAUGGCUGUUCGCCAUUUAAAGUGGUACGCGAGCUGGGUUUAGAACGUCGUGAGACAGUUCGGUCCCUAUCUGCCGUGGGCGCUGGAGAAUUGAGGGGGGCUGCUCCUAGUACGAGAGGACCGGAGUGGACGCAUCACUGGUGUUCGGGUUGUCAUGCCAAUGGCACUGCCCGGUAGCUAAAUGCGGAAGAGAUAAGUGCUGAAAGCAUCUAAGCACGAAACUUGCCCCGAGAUGAGUUCUCCCUGAGACUUUAAGUCUCCUGAAGGAACGUUAAAGACGAUGACGUUGAUAGGCCGGGUGUGUAAGCGCAGCGAUGCGUUGAGCUAACCGGUACUAAUGAACCGUGAGGCUUAACCUU
This 2902-nucleotide ribosomal RNA is filed under the name Klebsiella pneumoniae. RNAcentral's name for it is "23S ribosomal RNA". It matches the Rfam family "Bacterial large subunit ribosomal RNA". The record is from RNAcentral. Lineage: Bacteria; Pseudomonadati; Pseudomonadota; Gammaproteobacteria; Enterobacterales; Enterobacteriaceae. RNAcentral also lists the same sequence under 1 other name.